RNAcentral lists this ribosomal RNA (253 nucleotides) under uncultured bacterium. RNAcentral describes it as "partial 16S ribosomal RNA". It matches the Rfam family "Bacterial small subunit ribosomal RNA", at positions 524 to 776 of the family's 1533-position model. The record is from RNAcentral.
UACGUAGGGUGCAAGCGUUAAUCGGAAUUACUGGGCGUAAAGCGUGCGCAGGCGGUUUUGUAAGUCUGCCGUGAAAGCCCCGGGCUCAACCUGGGAAUUGCGAUGGAGACUGCAAGGCUUGAAUCUGGCAGAGGGGGGUAGAAUUCCACGUGUAGCAGUGAAAUGCGUAGAGAUGUGGAGGAACACCGAUGGCGAAGGCAGCCCCCUGGGUCAAGAUUGACGCUCAUGCACGAAAGCGUGGGGAGCAAACAGG